AAUGUAUGGGGCGGAUAGGGGUGCAGCAUGGUUGUGGUGCGUCCUUUUUAGAAGGAAUAUGGAAGCGGGUUAUGAAUAGAGACAGCAAUGGGAGAGAGGUGGGCCUAAAGGAUCAAAGAUUUUUACCAGUACUGCACCCCUAAGAAAUUUGAGCAUCAUAAAGAAAGUGGCUAGGAGAGACAAGAAAAAGGUAGCAUACAAACGAAACCCUACUUUAUUUAACAUUAUGAGGAAUGAUAAGGACCAGCUUGAUGAGAAGGAGAAGAAAGGGGUAUAUAGGAUACCAAUGACAGACAUGAACACAAAUCAAGGAAACAGCAUAUAUAGGGAUGACAUCAAAGUCAUUAGGAAUGCGGAUGGACGAACAUAAAAAUGAUAUCUUAAAGGUUAGAAUGGGCACGGCCCUAGCAAGUGAAGCCUGUAGUAACAAUGUCCGUAUAAAAUGGGACAAAGCUAGAUGUAUAAAGCUCCUAAAGAAGCAUGCAAGGUCUACAGUGAUGGACUCCCUGGAAAUAUUAAAAAGUUGGGACAUGAGAAACUAAUCAAUGACAAACUUGCAUGGGAGUCUUCCAAAGGUUGGAGAUAUGCUCUGGAUAGGAGGAGGAUUUGAGCAAUUAAAAGUAUAGAUUCUUAGCAAGAAAAUUAUAUUGAUAAGAAGUAAUAAAUGAAACAGCAGACAUGUUUACCAAAGGUUUACACAGAGAAC
Molecule: long non-coding RNA, 706 nt
Filed under: Androctonus crassicauda
Lineage: Eukaryota; Metazoa; Arthropoda; Arachnida; Scorpiones; Buthidae
Source: RNAcentral